RNAcentral lists this ribosomal RNA (828 nucleotides) under Triticum aestivum (bread wheat). RNAcentral's name for it is "partial small subunit ribosomal RNA". Lineage: Eukaryota; Viridiplantae; Streptophyta; Magnoliopsida; Poales; Poaceae. The record is from RNAcentral.
AUGGGUUUGCUUCCAACUCCUAAGCAAGUCUACGGUCGGACGCCACGGUAUCUAAAGAACAUCAAUAUGACUACAACUGAUGGAUCACCAUAUGAAGUUGAACAUGACGUUUGGGAGGUAAUAGCAAAGAUGAAGGAGCAUAUAAAAAAGCAAGACCAGAUUAUUAAAGAUAUGAAUAACAAAGAAGGCUAUGUCAAUAAUGGCAUAGAAGAGGAAAACCUCCAAUCAAAUGAUAAUGGUAUUUCUCGGUCACCAGUACUGCUUGGUAAAACAAAGAGAAUCCAGUGCAAUGGACCCGUUGAGGCACGCUCAUCUAUGCAACAUGACAUUCCUGAGGAUAAUAAUUUAUCAUGUUCGCAUGAAAAGGUUGGCGACCAUGAUGUCAACCAAUUACAAAUUCAACAAAAUUCAUCAUCACCACAAGACCUUGUUAUUGAUUCUGUGCUAGAGGUGAGGGAAAUGAGGAAUAUUACGGGUGGAUCUGUUUCAAGACCGAACCAGCAAAGGACUAGAACUGAACACCCACACCGCUCAAAAAAAAGGCGUUCUUCUUCCAUCAAGGCUGCUUCCAAAGUAGUCUUAAAGACUUCAACAUAUCCCAACAAGCGGAAUGUUGCGUAUGGUACUAUUGGGAGUACUGAUCCAAGAACUAAGGCUGGUGGUAUUGAGUUAGGUGCUGAAUUUGCUCUUGUGCGCAUAGACGAACCUAUUCUUGAUAAUGAGGAGUUGGUAAGGGAAGUUUCUGAUUGCAAGACAAUUGGCGAGGCUUUCACUUCAGGAUACUUAAUUGCCUGGCCUUCAGCUUUUAUUCGAGAGAAGGAUGGUUGA